CCUACGGGGGGCAGCAGUCGAGAAUCUUUCACAAUGGGGGAAACCCUGAUGGAGCGACGCCGCGUGGAGGAUGAAGGUCUUCGGAUUGUAAACUCCUGUCAUAAAAGAACAAGCUCACUGCGUUAGCCGCGUGGUGGGUUGAUAGUAUUUUAAGAGGAAGGGACGGCUAACUUCGUGCCAGCAGCCGCGGUAAUACGAAGGUCCCAAGCGUUGUUCGGAAUCACUGGGCGUAAAGGGUGUGUAGGCGGCACGGAAAGUCAGAUGUGAAAUUCCAG
This 275-nucleotide ribosomal RNA is filed under the name uncultured bacterium. RNAcentral's name for it is "partial 16S ribosomal RNA". It matches the Rfam family "Bacterial small subunit ribosomal RNA", at positions 338 to 605 of the family's 1533-position model. The record is from RNAcentral.